This 806-nucleotide ribosomal RNA is filed under the name uncultured Pelagibacteraceae bacterium. RNAcentral's name for it is "bacterial SSU rRNA". It matches the Rfam family "Bacterial small subunit ribosomal RNA", at positions 33 to 887 of the family's 1533-position model. The record is from RNAcentral. Lineage: Bacteria; Pseudomonadati; Pseudomonadota; Alphaproteobacteria; Candidatus Pelagibacterales; Candidatus Pelagibacteraceae.
ACGCUGGCGGCACGCCUAACACAUGCAAGUCGAACGAAGUAGCAAUACUUAGUGGCAGACGGGUGAGUAACAUGUAGGUAUCUUCCCUUUGGCCUGGAAUAACACGAGGAAACUUGUGCUAAUACUGGAUAAGUCUUUACGGAGAAAGCUUUAUGCACCAUUGGAUGAGCCUGCACUUGAUUAGUUUGUUGGUGGGGUAAAGGCCUACCAAGACUGUGAUCAAUAGCUGAUUUGAGAGGAUGAUCAGCCACAUUGGGACUGAGACACGGCCCAAACUCCUACGGGAGGCAGCAGUGGGGAAUCUUGCACAAUGGAGGAAACUCUGAUGCAGCGAUGCCGCGUGAGUGAAGAAGGCCUUUGGGUUGUAAAGCUCUUUCGUCGGGGAAGAAAAUGACUGUACCCGAAUAAGAAGGUCCGGCUAACUUCGUGCCAGCAGCCGCGGUAAUACGAAGGGACCUAGCGUAGUUCGGAAUUACUGGGCUUAAAGAGUUCGUAGGUGGUUGAAAAAGUUGGUGGUGAAAUCCCAGAGCUUAACUCUGGAACUGCCAUCAAAACUUUUCAGCUAGAGUUUGAUAGAGGAAAGCAGAAUUUCUAGUGUAGAGGUGAAAUUCGUAGAUAUUAGAAAGAAUACCAAUUGCGAAGGCAGCUUUCUGGAUCAUUACUGACACUGAGGAACGAAAGCAUGGGUAGCGAAGAGGAUUAGAUACCCUCGUAGUCCAUGCCGUAAACGAUGUGUGUUAGACGUUGGAAAUUUAUUUUCAGUGUCGCAGCAAAAGCGAUAAACACACCGCCUGGGGAGUACGACC